This 768-nucleotide long non-coding RNA is filed under the name Monodelphis domestica (gray short-tailed opossum). Its description in RNAcentral is "lncRNA (ENSMODG00000035017.2)". Lineage: Eukaryota; Metazoa; Chordata; Mammalia; Didelphimorphia; Didelphidae. The record is from RNAcentral.
CUAAUUUUAGACUAGCUGGUGUUUGAUGCAUAGCCACAGUUAAUUGACCUCAUUUUAGGAGGAAGUAGAAUUCUGGAUAGGGAAAUAAUUUACCCAAGGCCACACAGGCAGUAAGUAUCAUUGUGUCCUGAAUUCUGUGAAGGUCAGUAACCUGAAAGAAGAUUGGGAAGAUACUAAGGGGACAAGUUGAGAAAAACCUUACAUGACAAAGGACUUUAUAUUGAUCCUGAAGGUUGCCAAACUGUUACAGUUAAAAGCCUCACCCACUGAUAUAUGUACAUACACUGGGACGAGAAUGUUUCUUGGUUGCAAGUUCCAUCCUGUGGAAGGACUAUUCUCUUAGAAAAAUAAUCAAUAUUGCAGAGGGAAAGGAGCAGAAUCAUAACAUUGAUCACAAAGACUGAUACAUUAUGGCACAAUAGACUUCUCUACUAGCAGCAACUCAAUGGCCCAGGACAAUCCAAAGGAAUUUAUGAAAAAGAAUGCUCUCCACAUCCAGAGAAAGAACUGUGGAAGCAGAAAAUGCAGAAGAAAAAUAUUUGAUUGAUCACAUGGUUAAAUGGGGAUAUGAUUGGGGUUUCAAUGUUAAAAGAUCAUUCUAUUUGCAAAUAUGAAUAACAUGGAAAUAGGUUUUGAGCAAUGAUACAUGUAUAACCCAGUGGGACUGCUUAUCAGCUCCAAGAGUAGGGAGGGAAGAGUGAUGGAGAAUUAUGAAUCAUGUAACCAUGGGAAAAAAGAAAAAUAAACAAUAUGAAAAUAUAUUUUGCA